Molecule: unclassified non-coding RNA, 675 nt
Filed under: Hevea brasiliensis (rubber tree)
Lineage: Eukaryota; Viridiplantae; Streptophyta; Magnoliopsida; Malpighiales; Euphorbiaceae
Source: RNAcentral
UGAGAGGCUUGCAUUACAAAUUCUCAAUGUAUGAGAUUCUCCUUCAAGUUUCUAGAGGACUAUCUAGGAGGCAGCAUAUUAUAAUCUGCCACCUAAAAGAUUUCCAAAGGAAACAUAUAAAGGGUCCUACAAAAAGCCCAAUAGGGAAACUAGCUACCAGUUAGGCCAUUUUCUUAGGAAGAUUAAACCUGUUGCACCUGUGGAACCUAUAGUGAAGUUUCUGAGAAGUCAACCUCGGUUCGUGGGACCACCCUUGGUCAAAUUGAAGAAACAGUGGCAAUUAGUGCACCAUCAUAAAUUUCUACAAUCGCUAACCUAUACACAGAAGAGGCAGCUUCAGAGGCAAAGGGCUGUUAAAAGGAACUAAAAGAAGAGCAUAAAGAUUAGGCUUUAUAAAAAAGUAAGUUCAAUAGAAAAGCAACAGAGGAUCAGAGCUAAUGGGAAGUUCAGAAGAAGUAUCCAUUCAAAAUAAAGAAGGUAAAGCUUUACCUAUUGACUGUAAUGUUGCUUACUUGAUUUUGCCUAUUGCUUUUUAGAAAGUAGUGGUAGAGGUACCCAAGGAGAUGCAGGAAAUAAUAGAUUUGGGAUGCUGAGGUCUCUAGUGGAGUUACCAUUUAGUGCACUAAGCAAGGGGAGCCAAAGAAGAUAGUGAUGACCAAGCAUCUGCAACCCCUG